Molecule: transfer RNA, 69 nt
Filed under: Glyptelasma annandalei
Lineage: Eukaryota; Metazoa; Arthropoda; Thecostraca; Poecilasmatidae
Description: tRNA-Ile
Source: RNAcentral
GGUAAGGUGCCUGAAAUUAAAGGAUCACUUUGAUAGAGUGGAUAAUGUAAGUAUAUUUUACUCUUACUA